This 459-nucleotide ribosomal RNA is filed under the name uncultured bacterium. Its description in RNAcentral is "partial 16S ribosomal RNA". It matches the Rfam family "Bacterial small subunit ribosomal RNA", at positions 338 to 795 of the family's 1533-position model. The record is from RNAcentral.
CCUACGGGGGGCUGCAGUGAGGAAUAUUGGUCAAUGGGCGGAAGCCUGAACCAGCCAAGUAGCGUGCAGGAUGACGGCCCUACGGGUUGUAAACUGCUUUUAUACGGGAAUAACGCGCCUUACGUGUAGGGCUUUGCAUGUACCGUAUGAAUAAGGCCCGGGUAAUUCCGGGCCAGCAGCCGCGGUAAUACGGAGGGUCCGGGCGUUAUCCGGUUAUAUUGGGUUUAAAGGGUGCGUAGGCGGGCUUUUAAGUUAGCGGUAAAAAUUCGGGGCUCAACCCCGUCCUGCCGUUGAAACUGGGGGCCUUGAGUGGGCGAGAAGAAGGCGGAAUGCGUGGUGUAGCGGUGAAAUGCAUAGAUAUCACGCAGAACCCCGAUUGCGAAGGCAGCCUGCCGGCGCCCGACUGACGCUGAGGCACGAAAGUGCGGGGAUCGAACAGGAUUAGAUACCCCUGUAGUC